AUUGAACGCUGGCGGCAGGCCUAACACAUGCAAGUCGAGCGGAUGAAGGGAGCUUGCUCCUGGAUUCAGCGGCGGACGGGUGAGUAAUGCCUAGGAAUCUGCCUGGUAGUGGGGGAUAACGUCCGGAAACGGGCGCUAAUACCGCAUACGUCCUGAGGGUGAAAGUGGGGGAUCUUCGGACCUCACGCUAUCAGAUGAGACUAGGUCGGAUUAGCUAGUUGGUGGGGUAAAGGCCUACCAAGGCGACGAUCCGUAACUGGUCUGAGAGGAUGAUCAGUCACACUGGAACUGAGACGCGGUCCAGACUCCUACGGGAGGCAGCAGUGGGGAAUAUUGGACAAUGGGCGAAAGCCUGAUCCAGCCAUGCCGCGUGAGUGAAGAAGGUCUUCGGAUUGUAAAGCACUUUAAGUUGGGAAGAAGAGCAGUAAGUGAAUCCAUUGCUGUUUUGACGGUACCAACAGAAUAAGCACCGGCUAACUUCGUG
RNAcentral lists this ribosomal RNA (484 nucleotides) under uncultured bacterium. Its description in RNAcentral is "partial 16S ribosomal RNA". It matches the Rfam family "Bacterial small subunit ribosomal RNA", at positions 30 to 507 of the family's 1533-position model. The record is from RNAcentral.